AUCAUUUUGUAGUUCAUGAGCACAACAAUUGUGUGUUCACAAACAUUGGGAGACUUGUGUCUUCCUGAAACCUUGUUACGACUUUGGUAGGUGACUUGUCUGAGG
This is a small nucleolar RNA of Mustela putorius furo (domestic ferret), 105 nucleotides long. The record is from Ensembl. NCBI's taxonomy places the organism in Eukaryota, Metazoa, Chordata, Mammalia, Carnivora, Mustelidae.